CUGUUAUCUUUCGUAUGGAUGUUGUGAAACUCUGGCCUCAGCAUUCAUGUCUCAAAACACAUGCCUGAGAGAGCUGGACAUCAGCUACAACAACCUUGGGGACUGUGGAGUGAAACUGCUCUGUGCUGGACUGACAAGUCCAUUCUGUCAUAUAGAGAUACUGCAUCUGAGGGAGUGUAAUAUGACGGGUAUGUGCUGUUCAGAUUUGGCCACAGCUUUGUGUUCAUUCAACUCAAAGCUGAAAGAAUUGGAACUCAGAGACAACAACCUGCAAAACUCAGGAGUUGCACUUCUCUCUGCUGGGCUGGGAGACAUGCAUUGUGAAGUACAGAGAAUGGGGUUGUCUGGCUGUAGAGUCACAGAGGAAGGCUGUAUUUAUCUGGCUUCGGCUCUGAGAUCCAACCCUUCACACCUGAAAGAGCUGGACCUAAGUUACAAUCACCCAGGACACUCAGGAGUGAAGCAGUUCUACUGUACUGGAAGAUCCACACAGUAUGCUGAAGAAACUCUGAGUGGAUCAUGGUGGGGAAUGCAGGGCUGAGAAAAUAUGCCGGUCUACUCAGUCUGGACCCAAACACAGCGCACCCACACCUGUCACUCUCAAAGGGGAACCGAGAGGUGACGCGAAACGUAGAGAACCAGCAACCUCUUGAUCACCCAGAUAGAUUUCAGCACUGUCACCAAGUUCUGGGCAAAGAGUAUCUGACUUCACGCUGUUACUGGGAAAUAGAGUGGCGCAGGACGAAUGUUGACAUUGGAGCCACAUAUAAAAGAAUCAACAGGAAAGGCGAGGGCUCGGAAAGUAUGAUCGGGAUGAAUAACAAGUCCUUUAGCUUGGUCUGUCAUCGUGAAGGAUAUCAUUUCUGUCACAAUGGGAGGAUCACUAAAAUAGCCACUCCACUUCCUCCCUCAAAAAGAAUAGGGGUGUGUCUGGACUGGCACUCUAGCCUUCUACAGUGUCGCCAGUGACACAGUGACCCACCUACAUACAUUCCACACCACGUUUACCGAGCCCCUCCAUCCCGCGUUUGGAGUUUACAUGGGCUCAACGCUGACACUUUGCCAGUUAGACUGGAGUCAAUCAGCAUAUAUUCAGUGCAUACAGAGUAGUAUAUUACAUAUGAGAUGUGAUAGUUUAACUUUUAUCUACUGUAGUCCAUCUACUGCAUUUGCAUUGUACUAAUUGUGUAUAUAGUAGUUUAAGUUACUGCUGACCUCACAAAAUCUAUUGGAAGUGGAUAAAAGUACUGUAUUGUAUAUGAAUGUUGUAAAUGAUGCAUUUUUCAGUCCGUUCUGGAAACGACAACUUUUAACUCAUU
Molecule: long non-coding RNA, 1319 nt
Organism: Coregonus clupeaformis (lake whitefish)
Lineage: Eukaryota; Metazoa; Chordata; Actinopteri; Salmoniformes; Salmonidae
Exons: 5
Source: RefSeq, a predicted model, not a curated record